RNAcentral lists this ribosomal RNA (490 nucleotides) under uncultured bacterium. Its description in RNAcentral is "bacterial SSU rRNA". It matches the Rfam family "Bacterial small subunit ribosomal RNA", at positions 28 to 486 of the family's 1533-position model. The record is from RNAcentral.
GAUGAACGCUGGCGGCAUGCCUAAGACAUGCAAGUCGUACGAAGCGGCCCAAUGAAGAUUGCGUGCUUGCACAAAAUUGGAUUUGGAUUUCCGCUUAGUGGCAAACGGGUGAGUAACACGUGGGUGUACCUACCUCUAAGUCGGGGAUAACAAUUGGAAACGAUUGGUAAUACCGGAUGUGCUCUACGGAGUAAAGGAGCCUUUAAAGCUCCGCUUAGAGAUGGGCCUGCGGCGCAUUAGCUAGUUGGUGAGAUAAUGGCCCACCAAGGCGACGAUGCGUAGCCGAACUGAGAGGUUGAUCGGCCACAUUGGGACUGAGACACGGCCCAGACUCCUACGGGAGACAGCAGUUAGGAAUAUUCGUCAAUGGGGGAAACCCUGAACGAGCAAUGCCGCGUGAGUGAUGACGGUCCUCUGGAUUGUAAAACUCUGUUGUUUAGGAAAAAUUGUAAUUGGUAGGAAUGACCAAUGCUUGAUGGUACUAUUCAAG